UGAGGAAUAUUGGUCAAUGGGCGCGAGCCUGAACCAGCCAAGUCGCGUGAGGGAAGACGGUCCUAUGGAUUGUAAACCUCUUUUGUCGGGGAGCAAUUUUCGCUACGUGUAGUGAAAGUGAGAGUACCCGAAGAAAAAGCAUCGGCUAACUCCGUGCCAGCAGCCGCGGUAAUACGGAGGAUGCGAGCGUUAUCCGGAUUUAUUGGGUUUAAAGGGUGCGUAGGCCGGCGGUCAAGUCAGCGGUAAAAUUGAGAGGCUCAACCUCUUCGAGCCGUUGAAACUGGUCGUCUUGAGUGGGCGAGAAGUAUGCGGAAUGCGUGGUGUAGCGGUGAAAUGCAUAGAUAUCACGCAGAACUCCGAUUGCGAAGGCAGCAUACCGGCGCCCGACUGACGCUGAAGCACGAAAGCGUGGGGAUCAAACAGG
Molecule: ribosomal RNA, 424 nt
Filed under: uncultured bacterium
Lineage: Bacteria
Description: bacterial SSU rRNA
Rfam family: Bacterial small subunit ribosomal RNA
Source: RNAcentral